Molecule: ribosomal RNA, 750 nt
Filed under: uncultured bacterium
Lineage: Bacteria
Description: bacterial SSU rRNA
Rfam family: Bacterial small subunit ribosomal RNA
Source: RNAcentral
CGGACGGGUGAGUAACACGUGGGUAACCUGCCCUUCAGUGGGGGAUAACAUUUGGAAACAGAUGCUAAUACCGCAUAGAUCCAAGAACCGCAUGGUUCUUGGCUGAAAGAUGGCGUAAGCUAUCGCUUUUGGAUGGACCCGCGGCGUAUUAGCUAGUUGGUGAGGUAACGGCUCACCAAGGCGAUGAUACGUAGCCGAACUGAGAGGUUGAUCGGCCACAUUGGGACUGAGACACGGCCCAAACUCCUACGGGAGGCAGCAGUAGGGAAUCUUCCACAAUGGACGCAAGUCUGAUGGAGCAACGCCGCGUGAGUGAAGAAGGCUUUCGGGUCGUAAAACUCUGUUGUUGGAGAAGAAUGGUCGGCAGAGUAACUGUUGUCGGCGUGACGGUAUCCAACCAGAAAGCCACGGCUAACUACGUGCCAGCAGCCGCGGUAAUACGUAGGUGGCAAGCGUUAUCCGGAUUUAUUGGGCGUAAAGCGAGCGCAGGCGGUUUUUUAAGUCUGAUGUGAAAGCCCUCGGCUUAACCGAGGAAGCGCAUCGGAAACUGGGAAACUUGAGUGCAGAAGAGGACAGUGGAACUCCAUGUGUAGCGGUGAAAUGCGUAGAUAUAUGGAAGAACACCAGUGGCGAAGGCGGCUGUCUGGUCUGUAACUGACGCUGAGGCUCGAAAGCAUGGGUAGCGAACAGGAUUAAGAUACCCUGGUAGUCCAUGCCGUAAACGAUGAAUGCUAGGUGUUGGAGGGUUUC